This 499-nucleotide ribosomal RNA is filed under the name uncultured bacterium. Its description in RNAcentral is "partial 16S ribosomal RNA". It matches the Rfam family "Bacterial small subunit ribosomal RNA", at positions 28 to 507 of the family's 1533-position model. The record is from RNAcentral.
GACGAACGCUGGCGGCGUGCUUAACACAUGCAAGUCGAACGGGCCCGCCCCUGUUUUUGGGGGUGGGUUGAGUGGCGAACGGGUGAGUAUCCCGUGAGUAACCUGCCCCCUGCUCCUGGAUAACUGCUUGAAAGGGCGGCUAAUACGGGGUGUGCCGGCUGGUCCGCAUGGGCCUGGUCGGGAUAGUUUCAUCUUCGGGUGUUUCGGUGGGGGAUGGGCUCGCGGCCUAUCAGCUUGUUGGUGGGGUGAUGGCCCACCAAGGCGGUGACGGGUAGCCGGCCUGGGAGGGUGGGCGGCCACACUGGGACUGAGACACGGCCCAGGCUCCUGCGGGAGGCAGCAGUGGGGGGUAGUGCACAAUGGGCGGAAGCCUGAUGCAGCGACGUCGCGUGAGGGAUGGAGGCCUUCGGGUUGUGAACCUCUUUCUCCGGUGGUGAAGGCCCUGUCCGUUGCGGCGGGGUUGACGGUAGCCGGGUAUGAAGCGCCGGCUAACUACGUG